Molecule: microRNA precursor, 107 nt
Filed under: Nomascus leucogenys (northern white-cheeked gibbon)
Lineage: Eukaryota; Metazoa; Chordata; Mammalia; Primates; Hylobatidae
Description: mir-130 microRNA precursor family
Source: Rfam by way of RNAcentral
AAUUUUCUGACAACCAUUUCACAUUGCACUACUAGGUGUACAAACUACUGUUUGAACAAACUGUUUGAAUACCUAAUAGUGCAAUGUGAAAUGGUUGUCAGAAAAUU